Pseudopipra pipra is the source of this 4910-nucleotide long non-coding RNA. RefSeq lists it as uncharacterized. The transcript is spliced from 2 exons. Lineage: Eukaryota; Metazoa; Chordata; Aves; Passeriformes; Pipridae. The record is from RefSeq and is a predicted model, not a curated record.
CCAUAAGUGACAACCUUAACGAGGGACUGUUAUGCAUACAGCAUGAAAAGUUAUUUAACUUAAUACCUCCAGUUCAGGUUUCAGCCUUGAGUACUCUGCAUAUUCUUCUAUUUGUGCCUAACAAUGUUGAACAGCAUUUGAUACUUUUGGGAUCAUUACAGUGUCAACUCUCCCAUCUUGGCCAACUGCAAAUUAAAUUCUCUGUAGCUGUUUCCUCUGUGGUCCCAAAUGGAUGAAAUUGUUGCACAGCUGAGUAAGGCCCGGGGCCAGUUAUAUCCAAAAAUUGAAAACUGCUUUGGCAAUUUCAGCCUUCAUGUCUCUGAAGGAGACAGGGAAGGAGGGCCUUAGUGUGGAGUGUGGGAUCACAACAGCCAUAGUGGUGACAAGGUCUGCUAGUGCCCAUGAAGUGUCAGGCUCACUCCUAACAUAGAAAGACACUUCAAAAAUAUGGCAUUUUAGGGUGGAACCCUUCCCAUUUUCCUCUUUCUAUAAGCACAGCCUGGAGGCUACAGCUGCCUGCACACUGGUGUGAGCUGUGGGCCAUCUCUGGUUCCACCUUGUUCAUAGGGCAGUUCAGAAAUGCCCCAGGGCUGAAGCUGAAUGCAGAAAUUCAUACACCCAGCCCGUGUCUUUGGCACCAGUUACAGUCAUGCUGGCCCUACAAAUCCUAAAAUAGUUUCCAACCCUGUGAGGUGAAAAGCAGCACUGGGGAUGCCCUGAGGAUAUGGAGCGCUGGGGAAAGUAAAACAGCUCUGGUCUUUCUCAGGCCAGGAGUUGUUGAGACCAUAUGUCCUACUUCCCAUUCCAGUGACUGUGCUUUGAUGCCCAAAAGUAGGCAUAACCCUCCAACCUGUUGCUCAUCCAUGUUUCAAAGCACCAGUGAGCCCCAGCCCACCUUAUGGAGAGAACACCAUAUCUUGUAUACUUUGCAAACAAACCAAGAGGGUUUUAGGAUCUACCAUUUCUCCAAACCCCUUGGUACUGGCAGCCCAGUGAUGGUGAUGCCUGUCUUACUCUGUAGUGGUGGGACUGGGACUUGAGGGGCCUGUUUUCUGCAGAGGCUUUGUGGGGAGCCUGGCAGCUCAGACCAGCAGCUCUGUCGGCCACUGAGAACUGGCAGCAACUUCUGCCCCUGAACAUUAGCAUCCUCUGUAGGUUCUCUGGGCCAGUCGGGCAAACAGGUUGAAAAGGCUCUGGUUCCAAUAAGUCAUAGAGAGAACACAAACAGAGGCAUCAAAAUGUCCUUCACAGGCAGAAUGGCUGUGAAAUAGUUUGUACAGGCAUAACUAACUGAACUUUCACAUCACAAAUAUGACCCAGGAACAAGUCACUAUUUUUCAGGGGUACCUCUAGUCUUUGCAUUUACUUACAGCCAUGCGAACUGCCUAACAGUGAAAAGCACACUCUGGUAGAGACAGGAGUGAGAUCCAUCCUGGAUGUCAAAUACAGAUGUUACAAAAUCCCAGAAUGGUUUUGGUUGGAAGGGACCUUAAAGUUCCAACCCCUUGGCCAUGGCCAGGGACACCUUCCACUAGACCAGGCUGCUCAGAGCUCAACAACCGUUUUCUCAACAGCAACACCUCCUUCCAGCCCACCAGCAACAGACUCCAGCGUUUCCACUGGCUUCUGCCCACCAAAUGCCAGUCCUCCUAAGGAGGAUGUGCCCUGAAAGAGCAUACUGUGCAACUCACUUCACUGGGACCACAGAGCUCCAAAUUGAUGAGACAGGCAUGAACAAGAAAAUGAGGACAAGAGCAACCCCACUGUGUUUGCUUCAAGCCCUGUCACCACAGCCACUCUGCUAAAAAGUGACCUAGAACUGCAUGUUAGGACCAAACUGUGGUUUCCAAUUCUAGAAAGGAAAAGCCUUUAUAAAGCAGGUGCCAAGAUUUUGAGCCUAUUAGCUGGUUUUCUAUUGCCUUUCUGGGCACGGUUGAAAUUUCUGUCAUUAAAAAUGUUUUUUUAUUUGGAGGUGGUGGUGGGAGAAAUAUCUUUUUUUAAAUUUUUAACACUAAAACAAAAAUCCCAAGCCUGGUCCUGGUCUCCUUCAUUAUCCAAACCCAAACUCAUUAUCUCUCUCCCACUUGAAGUGAGUAUAUAUAUUCUAUGCAUGCUAAAAUAAUCAGGGGCCAAUUUUUAAGUACUAAAAGAAGUUUUACAGUUAUGUUACAUUUGACUGAAAGGAGAAAAAACAAGUAUUACAGUAAGAAAAUGCUUCAGAGGAGUGAGCAAAGGACUGCAGCAGGCUAGAGCCCCUCACAUGUCCUCCUCAGUAAUUUCUUCCCUCUAUUAUCACUCAAUGUUUUCUGUCACUUCACUUUUUGUGUUCUCUGUUAUUUAAGUUAAUGUUUCCUUACCAGCCUUUCCCCAAAAGUAAACACAAGCAUAUCAUUGUAGAAUUAGCACAUAGUGGUGGUCUUGCAAGUUUUACAUACCGUGUAUGCACAUGAACAGAGCAGUACUUGUGUAGAGGGAAACGGCUGUUAUGAAAGGCACUGAUAGAGCUGGCAAAGGAGGUUUUUGAAAUAAGGGUCCAUCUGAGAUUUAACACAUCACUAAAACUCUGGUGGCAUUUGCUACCAAGAUAUACUUCAGGUAUUUGUUUGCGAUACCUCUUCCCUCCCCUUGGGUCUGUCCACACUCUCUGCCAGUGUGUCAGGCCAAGGCCUCAAGGCCAAUUCCUGGACAGGACUGUGGUCCUGCACACUAAUGAACAUUACUAAGCCUGUGAAGUUGGUGCAGGUGUUCAUGGGUGAAAAGCUAUUGCAGUUUGACCCACCUGGUGGUGUGUUGCAUUGGAACAAGCACAAAUCAAUUUUAAUGCAUUUCUAGCUGCAUGGGAAAAAAAAUUACAAAGUUGUUUUCUUUCAAAUGCCUGCUUCUCACACAAGUUUUUCCAUCAAGGAUUUAAAACCACACUCGUAGCCUUUGUGUAAGCAGUUCCUAUUAACCAAGCUACAAACAUGAAAGUGCAGAAAAAAUUGAACAAGUAGACAGGACAGAAAAGUUGAAUGAGCAUUGGCUCUUCUUAUUUUAAUGAAGAAAUAUUUCAAGUUAAUAUCAGUGCAUAUUUAGAAAUAGCAUGUGAUACUCCCAAUGCCAAAUACAACAGCAAAUUACAGUUUCAAAACUUUAUAAAUGAAUGGCAAGGAAAAAAAAAGAUUAACAGAGAGGAUAAGGUUCAAAAUAAACAUCCUGUUUGUUUGCUGCACUGUGUCAAUUAUAUUCCUGGUACUUACACAGCAAGAGUGAUCCAGUAUUUCAUGGUAAUUAGGCUCUCCAAAAUAGCAGUUAUUUUCCUACAAAUGAAUUAAGCGGUUUGCAUUUAUUUUUGAUGUAUAAUUAAAUGUUAUUCUUAGCUGUUACAAAGAAAUUUAGUCAUGUCAGAGUAAAAUUUCAUUCCAUGACUGAAAAAAUCACACUAACAUAGGAACACUGCCUUCUGGUUAUACCCACUGGUAACAGUCAGCUGAGAAUAGGAAGAACUACGUGUAAGCACAUUUGGCUGUUACAUAAAAUGGCUUUUUUUUUUCUGUUUCACAGCCUCAUAACAAUACUGUUUUUCAACAUUGUUCCCAGUCAUUGUUUUUAAAAUGGUUCAUCAACAUAUCCUGAAUCAAUCACCGAUAUAAAUAACUCCAGUGACAAAAUCCAUUAUGAAAGGACACAGAACUUCAAACUGAAAGUUGUACUGAAUGAUUUUAAGGUGGAACUGUAAUAACUGUAAUUACUCUAUAAGGUUAAAAAAAAAAAAGAAAACCACACAGUAAAAGCUGUAUCUGUAAUUAACUGGCAAUGAUAGAAUCUGAAAAACUGAGAUGUAAUUUUAAGAGAUGUCUAAUUCACAAUGGACUGUAAAGUAAGACAAAUCAUACUGAAGCUAGAGAGAGAUGCACAUUUAAAGCUUGCAAGUGUUAUAUAAAAAUAUUUUCUAGUUCUUUCAUUUUGAUACAAGGAGUCCAAUUCCCUAAUGGAAGAAGAUAAAAUACAUCCUCUUUCCUACCCCAUUGCUGUACAUAUAGACUGUUCCCUGGAUAUCAGGAAAUGGCUUUUCCCCAACAAAAAUACCAGCCUUGGGAAUCGCAGACUUUCUGAUAGUCAGGGUUUGUUGAUUUUGCUUUUUAAAGUAUACUUUCAAGCAGGUGAAAUACUGACAGGAUAUGCAUUUUGUUCACUACUAGUCUACUGUGCAAAUCUUAUACAUUGACCCUGUAACUUCAAUCCAGCUGCAGUCUGCAUCACCUAGAAUGACUGUGAAUCUUACUGUGAUACUACAGCAUGGAGAUGACUGCCAGGUUAUGAAAUAUCAGGCUAAAUCAGAUUAGUGGGAAAGGCACAUGCUUGGGAUUUAGCAGGAACACCUGAAGGUUCCUUGUUACCGUACCCUUACGCUCCUGGAGUUACAAUAAUUCUGUGCACUACCCAAACAACAAAGUUUGCUUCCAGAAAAUUGUGAGGUAACAGGAAACUUCUGCUUAUGGCACGUACACAUGAAAGGUCUGUGAGUUCAGCUGAAACACUUGAGGUGGUAGGGAUAACAGACACAAGGGAGGCUACAGUCUGGUUAGGCCAGAAACAAAAACUUAACAUUUUGUUAUACCACGUACAUUCCUUUUAUGCACAAACACAAGGUGCGCAAAAUAAACUGUUUGCUCAGUACAAUUUAAUGUUUUGCAUAUGUAAAAUAAUCACCUAAUACUGCAAUAUAAUCAAAAAUCAUGCACUAGAUAAACAGAGCUGCUUCCCCAUGAACAGUAGUUCUCGGGAACAUUUUAUUCUGCUUCAGGUAACAUCUCAUGAUUUGCUAGCUUACGCAGUCCCUUUUAAAGAACACAGUAUUUAGCUAAAACUGAAGAGCAAAAUUAAAAAAAAAAAGAAGUUUUGAUUUUAUUUGUGAUACAGCUGGGACA